UACGAAGGGGGCGAGCGUUGUUCGGAUUUACUGGGCGUAAAGGGCGCGCAGGCGGCUCAUUUUGUCAGGCGUGAAAGCCCCGGGCUUAACCUGGGAACUGCGUCUGAUACUGGAUGGCUUGAGUUCGGGAGAGGGAUGCGGAAUUCCAGGUGUAGCGGUGAAAUGCGUAGAUAUCUGGAGGAACACCGGUGGCGAAGGCGGCAUCCUGGACCGACACUGACGCUGAUGAGCGAAAGCCAGGGGAGCAAACGGG
This 253-nucleotide ribosomal RNA is filed under the name uncultured bacterium. RNAcentral describes it as "partial 16S ribosomal RNA". It matches the Rfam family "Bacterial small subunit ribosomal RNA", at positions 524 to 776 of the family's 1533-position model. The record is from RNAcentral.